GAUGAACGCUAGCGGGAGGCCUAACACAUGCAAGCCGAGCGGUAUUUGUCUUUCGGGACAGAGAGAGCGGCGUACGGGUGCGGAACACGUGUGCAACCUGCCCUUAUCUGGGGGAUAGCCUUUCGAAAGGAAGAUUAAUACCCCAUAAUAUAUUGAUUCGCAUGGAUUGAUAUUGAAAACUCCGGUGGAUAGAGAUGGGCACGCGCAAGAUUAGAUAGUUGGUGAGGUAACGGCUCACCAAGUCAGUGAUCUUUAGGGGGCCUGAGAGGGUGAUCCCCCACACUGGUACUGAGACACGGACCAGACUCCUACGGGAGGCAGCAGUGAGGAAUAUUGGACAAUGGGUGAAAGCCUGAUCCAGCCAUCCCGCGUGAAGGACGACGGUUCUAUGGAUUGUAAACUUCUUUUAUAUAGGGAUAAACCUACUUACGUGUAAGUAGCUGAAGGUACUAUACGAAUAAGCACCGGCUAACUCCGUGCCAGCCGCCGCAGUAA
This 495-nucleotide ribosomal RNA is filed under the name uncultured bacterium. RNAcentral's name for it is "partial 16S ribosomal RNA". It matches the Rfam family "Bacterial small subunit ribosomal RNA", at positions 28 to 523 of the family's 1533-position model. The record is from RNAcentral.